CUAAGAAUAUUCCGCAAUGGACGGAAGUCUGACGGAGCGACGCCGCGUGGAUGACGAAGGCCGAAAGGUUGUAAAGUUCUUUUGCUGGGGAAGAAUAACCGCAGGAGGGAAUGCCUGUGGGAUGACAAGAACCGGCGAAUAAGCCCCGGCCAACUACGUGCCAGCAGCCGCGGUAACACGUAGGGGGGCGAGCGUUGUUCGGAAUUACUGGGCGUAAAGGGCAUGUAGGCGGCUUGGAAAGCCUGGCGUGAAAGUCUGCAGCUUAACUGCAGGGGUGCGCUGGGAACUGCUGAGCUUGAGUGACGGAGAGGGAGCUGGAAUUCCUGGUGUAGGGGUGAAAUCUGUAGAUAUCAGGAAGAACACCGAUGGCGAAGGCAAGCUCCUGGCCGAUGACUGACGCUGAGGUGCGAAAGUGUGGGGAUCAAACAGGAUUAGAUACCCUGGUAGUCCACACAGUCAACGAUGUGCACUAGGUGCUGGGGCGGUAGCUUCGGUGCCGGAGCGAACGUGGUGAAGUGCACCGCCU
This 526-nucleotide ribosomal RNA is filed under the name uncultured bacterium. RNAcentral describes it as "partial 16S ribosomal RNA". It matches the Rfam family "Bacterial small subunit ribosomal RNA", at positions 355 to 874 of the family's 1533-position model. The record is from RNAcentral.